This 76-nucleotide transfer RNA is filed under the name Actinomycetota bacterium. Its description in RNAcentral is "Actinobacteria bacterium (freshwater metagenome) tRNA-Arg". It matches the Rfam family "tRNA". From Rfam's summary of the family: Transfer RNA (tRNA) molecules are approximately 80 nucleotides in length. Their secondary structure includes four short double-helical elements and three loops (D, anti-codon, and T loops). Further hydrogen bonds mediate the characteristic L-shaped molecular structure. tRNAs have two regions of fundamental functional importance: the anti-codon, which is responsible for specific mRNA codon recognition, and the 3' end, to which the tRNAs corresponding amino acid is attached (by aminoacyl-tRNA synthetases). tRNAs cope with the degeneracy of the genetic code in two manners: having more than one tRNA (with a specific anti-codon) for a particular amino acid; and 'wobble' base-pairing, i.e. permitting non-standard base-pairing at the 3rd anti-codon position. The record is from RNAcentral. Lineage: Bacteria; Bacillati; Actinomycetota.
GCGCCCGUAGCUCAACGGAUAGAGCAUUUGACUACGGAUCAGAAGGUUAGGGGUUCGAAUCCCUUCGGGCGCGCCA